This 279-nucleotide ribosomal RNA is filed under the name uncultured bacterium. Its description in RNAcentral is "partial 16S ribosomal RNA". It matches the Rfam family "Bacterial small subunit ribosomal RNA", at positions 506 to 784 of the family's 1533-position model. The record is from RNAcentral.
UGCCAGCAGCCGCGGUAACACGGGGGGCGCAAGCGUUAUUCGGAAUUAUUGGGCGUAAAGGGCGCGCAGGCGGUCUUGUCAGUCAGGUGUGAAAGCCCGGGGCUCAACCCCGGAUGGUCACUUGAAACAGCAAGACUUGAGUUCGGAAGGGAGAGGCGGAAUUCCAGGUGUAGUGGUGAAAUACGUAGAUAUCUGGAAGAACACCAGAGGCGAAGGCGGUCUCUUGGUCCGAAACUGACGCUGAGGCGCGAAAGCGUGGGGAGCAAACAGGAUUAGAUA